AUUAUAAGGUCCUUGCCCACAGCACGCAACCUUGGAUGUCACAAAUCCUGCCAAAAAUUAUCACAAGUAUUCAAUUAAUAUGAUAGUAAAACUGUUCUCCAUCAAAUUGGAUUCUUUUCAUAAUUAUCAUAAACUUGAUCUAUUAUGGAUUCAAAAUAGAAAUAUGUGAAAUUUAUUUAUUUAAUAAGUAAGUUAUACUAUUUAUCUUAUAUCUUAUAUCUGUCUAUAACAAAUAAAUCUGUACAAAAUAAAUUAUAAUAAAUAUUGCACAAUACUAAAAGCCAGGCUAUCACAAUAAUAUUGCAUUUAUUUGAAAUGGUCCCAUAGAUAGGUAUCCUCCAUUCAAGGUCUCUUGUCUAUUUUCUCCUUCACAAAUUUAUAUUUGUCAAAGAAAAAUUUUCUUGGAGAUGAUUUAUUAUAA
Molecule: unclassified non-coding RNA, 421 nt
Filed under: Hevea brasiliensis (rubber tree)
Lineage: Eukaryota; Viridiplantae; Streptophyta; Magnoliopsida; Malpighiales; Euphorbiaceae
Source: RNAcentral